Molecule: unclassified non-coding RNA, 382 nt
Filed under: uncultured bacterium
Lineage: Bacteria
Description: contains 16S-23S intergenic spacer region
Source: RNAcentral
UCCGGUUUGUCACCGACAGUCUCGCAUGAGUCCCCAGCUUUACCUGCUGGCAACAUGCGACGAGGGUUGCGCUCGUUGCGGGACUUAACCCAACAUCUCACGACACGAGCUGACGACAGCCAUGCAGCACCUUGCACUCUGUCUGGUUUUACCCAGAAGGCCCUAUCUCUAGGGUUGUCAGAGGCAUUCUAGCCCAGGUAAGGUUCUUCGCGUUGCGUCGAAUUGAACCACAUGCUCCACCGCUUGUGCGGGUCCCCGCCAAUUCCUUUGAGUUUCAGCCUUGCGGCCGUACUCCCCAGGCGGAGUGCUUAUUGGGUUUCCUUCGGCACAGAGGGCUUGACGCCCCCAACACCUAGCACUCAUCGUUUACGGCGUGGACUAC